RNAcentral lists this ribosomal RNA (500 nucleotides) under uncultured bacterium. Its description in RNAcentral is "partial 16S ribosomal RNA". It matches the Rfam family "Bacterial small subunit ribosomal RNA", at positions 30 to 523 of the family's 1533-position model. The record is from RNAcentral.
AUUGAACGCUGGCGGCAGGCCUAACACAUGCAAGUCGAGCGGCAGCGGGACCUUCGGGUUGCCGGCGAGCGGCGGACGGGUGAGUAAUGCCUAGGAAUCUGCCUGUUAGUGGGGGAUAACGCGGGGAAACUCGCGCUAAUACCGCAUACGUCCUACGGGAGAAAGCGGGGGCUCUUCGGACCUCGCGCUAACAGAUGAGCCUAGGUCGGAUUAGCUAGUUGGUGGGGUAAUGGCCCACCAAGGCGACGAUCCGUAACUGGUCUGAGAGGAUGAUCAGUCACACUGGAACUGAGACACGGUCCAGACUCCUACGGGAGGCAGCAGUGGGGAAUAUUGGACAAUGGGCGAAAGCCUGAUCCAGCCAUGCCGCGUGUGUGAAGAAGGUCUUCGGAUUGUAAAGCACUUUAAGUCGGGAGGAAGGGCUGUAGGCUAAUACCUUGCAGUUUUGACGUUACCGGCAGAAUAAGCACCGGCUAACUUCGUGCCAGCAGCCGCGGUAA